AAGCUACAGAACAGUGGGCCUUGGAAGCUGAAGGCACAAAUCAGCAAAGUAAAGCAGGCAAGAGGGUGCAAGAAACGGUUCCAUGUUAUUGUGCAUGGGCCUCAAAGCAGAGGCCCAUUAGUUAUUUUACACAUGAGUAAAUGGAGGUUAUGGGAAGCAAAACGGAGGUGUAAACAGAAUCCAAUGGGCUUGUUACUCGGGCCCACACGUGAGAAGGAUGGUUAAAGGCUUUAUUCUCUCACUAACCUAACGAGAAUCACCAACGAUCCCUGGUCAGAACGGAACGCCGUCGUGAUUCAUGAUGAAUUCCACUCAAAUUCAUGAUGAAUUCCACUCAAAUAGAACCAACGAUCCCUGGUGCAGGUGGAAAGUCAGUGUGGGAAUUAUGUUUCUUUGAGAGUAUAUUUAUAAUAACAUGGUGGGAUUUACAUCAAUAUUUCUCAAUAACGCGGGUAGGGAAGUUGCAGCGCCGUCACUUGUAAUAGGUGUUCGUUCAAUGCUGCUACUUGUCAUUCUCAAGUUACAAGAACUAGUGCUCAUAGUCCUUUUGAGUCCAGUUUCUCCUUUUUGAAUUAAAUGGUUCCACAAUAUCCAUAGUUCUUUCCUAUCUGGUGUUGUGCUCGGAAAUUUCUAAAGACCUUCUAAGUCUUUUGGGAGGGAUAGCAUCCAAUGAAGGUUCUUCAACAACCUUUUGCUUUCUUGAUAUUAUUUCACCAGCAUAUUCCACUUUAGGCAUAUUAUUCGUCCCUAAUUGUUGGUUAACAUCUAAGGUGCUGACAUCAGAAUCAAUGGAACGAAUCCUAGGAUCUCUACUCUUGCUGAAGACCGAUUUAUGGAAGUAGAAGCAAGAUGCAGUUGAUCCUAGGGGGUGACUAGGGCUGCAUUUGGUAAUUGUUUUUUGCAGGCUAAAGAAUUUACAAGGGGUUGGGAUUUGCUAUUCCAUGGAAUGCUAUGGAAUGAAUUUGGAUUAUGCAUUAAUAAAAAUUGUGAUUUUGUAAUAAUUUGUGAAUUGUAUUGUAAUUUGAAAAUUGAUCUGGACUUAAAGUGUGAAUUGGUUUGGUUAUUAUAAUUUGAUUGAGUAUGGUAAUGAAAAUUGGAUACGGUAA
Molecule: long non-coding RNA, 1106 nt
Organism: Lathyrus oleraceus (garden pea)
Lineage: Eukaryota; Viridiplantae; Streptophyta; Magnoliopsida; Fabales; Fabaceae
Exons: 2
Source: RefSeq, a predicted model, not a curated record